AGAGUUUGAUCCUGGCUCAGGAUGAACGCUGGCGGCGUGCCUAACACAUGCAAGUUGAGCGAUUUACUUCGGUAAAGAGCGGCGGACGGGUGAGUAACGCGUGGGUAACCUGCCCUGUACACACGGAUAACAUACCGAAAGGUAUGCUAAUACGAGAUAAUAUGCUUUUAUCGCAUGGUAGAAGUAUCAAAGCUUUUGCGGUACAGGAUGGACCCGCGUCUGAUUAGCUAGUUGGUAAGGUAACGGCUUACCAAGGCGACGAUCAGUAGCCGACCUGAGAGGGUGAUCGGCCACAUUGGAACUGAGACACGGUCCAAACUCCUACGGGAGGCAGCAGUGGGGAAUAUUGCACAAUGGGCGAAAGCCUGAUGCAGCAACGCCGCGUGAGCGAUGAAGGUUUUCGGAUUGUAAACUGCUUUAGACAGGGAAGAAACAAGACAGUACCUGUAGAAUAAGCUCCGGCUAACUACGUGCCAGCAGCCGCGGUAAUACGUAGGGAGCAAGCGUUAUCCGGAUUUAUUGGGUGUAAGGGGUGCGUAGACGGGAAAACAAGUUAGUUGUGAAAUCCCUCGGCUUAACUGAGGAACUGCAACUAAAACUAUUUUUCUUGAGUGCUGGAGAGGAAAGUGGAAUUCCUAGUGUAGCGGUGAAAUGCGUAGAUAUUAGGAGGAACACCAGUGGCGAAGGCGACCUUCUGGACAGUAACUGACGUUGAGGCACGAAAGUGUGGGGAGCAAACAGGAUUAGAUACCCUGGUAGUCCACACCGUAAACGAUGGAUACUAGGUGUAGGGGAUGAAUAAUCUUCUGUGCCGUCGCAAACGCAGUAAGUAUCCCACCUGGGGAGUACGGCCGCAAGGUUGAAACUCAAAGGAAUUGACGGGGGCCCGCACAAGCAGUGGAGUAUGUGGUUUAAUUCGACGCAACGCGAAGAACCUUACCAGGGCUUGACAUAUAGAGGAAUAACUAAGAGAUUAGUUAGCUCUUCGGAGUCUCUAUACAGGUGGUGCAUGGUUGUCGUCAGCUCGUGUCGUGAGAUGUUGGGUUGAGUCCCGCAACGAGCGCAACCCCUGUUCUUAGUUGCCAGCACGUUAAGGUGGGAACUCUAAGAAGACUGCCGGUGAUAAAUCGGAGGAAGGUGGGGACGACGUCAAAUCAUCAUGCCCUAUAUGUCCUGGGCUACACACGUACUACAAUGGCUAUAACAAAGGGAAGCAAAACCGCGAGGUGGAGCAAAACCCAAAAAAGUAGUCUCAGUUCGGAUUGAAGGCUGAAAUUCGCCUUCAUGAAGCCGGAAUUGCUAGUAAUGGCAGGUCAGCAUACUGCCGUGAAUACGUUCCCGGGCCUUGUACACACCGCCCGUCACACCAUGAGAGUUGGGAAUACCCGAAGCCUGUGAGCUAACUGUAAAGAGGCAGCAGUCGAAGGUAGAAUCAAUGAUUGGGGUGAAGUCGUAACAAGGUA
RNAcentral lists this ribosomal RNA (1463 nucleotides) under metagenome. RNAcentral describes it as "bacterial SSU rRNA". It matches the Rfam family "Bacterial small subunit ribosomal RNA". The record is from RNAcentral.